AUCCGCAGCAAUCGCGAGCAAAGUGAAAAUGCUCACGAGUUUAAUCACUUCCAUACCGCACCGGGGGUUAGUAUGAAGGUGAGCAAAAUAGGGCCGAUGCCGUCGGGACCGACGAAAUCACCAAAUUUGCUCACUAGAAAGGGGCGAGAGCAAACAUGCACUGAAAAAAAUUCUACCGUUUUGAGCAGAAUUAAACAAACGAUGUCGCAGCGUGUAGAUGUUUGUUGAUAUUUAUUUUAAGAAAAAACUGUAUCAGAUUAAAAUUGUGGAUGGUUUUUUUUUGGAAUUACCAGUUAAAUUUGCAAUUUCGUUACAUUUUUUCGGGUUUUUCCAAGAAUUGAACGAGAAAGUGUACAUGCUGGUUCUGAUGAUAAACAAACUUGAAGCAUCGUAAUUUGUGACCAAAAAUGGUCACUCGGAGUUUCUCGGAGUAAUAAUAAUCGAGACCAGUGCGCUGUGCAGGAUUUUUGUAUCCAACCGGCCAAUAUGGGUGGCAUUCCAGUACUGUCCCUACCGAUUCGGCUUUCGAAACGAGGUCUCUCAAUAAGUUUGCAACUAAUGGGACCCAGUUUUUCGGAGCAGCAACUAUUUCAAUCAGCACGUUGGAUAGAAAAAGAAGUUGAAGAUUUUUUAGAGAAGUAUGAUUUUAAUAUAAAUAUAAUAAACAAAUAAAGUUGAAUUGUUUAGUUUGUUGAA
Uranotaenia lowii is the source of this 696-nucleotide long non-coding RNA. RefSeq lists it as uncharacterized. Lineage: Eukaryota; Metazoa; Arthropoda; Insecta; Diptera; Culicidae. The transcript is spliced from 2 exons. The record is from RefSeq and is a predicted model, not a curated record.